Molecule: ribosomal RNA, 529 nt
Filed under: uncultured bacterium
Lineage: Bacteria
Description: bacterial SSU rRNA
Rfam family: Bacterial small subunit ribosomal RNA
Source: RNAcentral
AAUAGAUACCCGGGUAGUCCAUGCCGUAAACGAUGUCUACUAGCCGUUGGGGCCCUUGAGGCUUUAGUGGCGCAGCUAACGCGAUAAGUAGACCGCCUGGGGAGUACGGUCGCAAGACUAAAACUCAAAUGAAUUGACGGGGGGCCCGCACAAGCGGUGGAGCAUGUGGUUUAAUUCGAUGCAACGCGAAGAACCUUACCUGGCCUUGACAUACAGAGAACUUUCCAGAGAUGGAUUGGUGCCUUCGGGAACUCUGAUACAGGUGCUGCAUGGCUGUCGUCAGCUCGUGUCGUGAGAUGUUGGGUUAAGUCCCGCAACGAGCGCAACCCUUUUCCUUAUUUGCCAGCACUUCGGGUGGGUAACUUUAAGGAUACUGCCAGUGACAAACUGGAGGAAGGCGGGGACGACGUCAAGUCAUCAUGGCCCUUACGGCCAGGGCUACACACGUGCUACAAUGGUCGGUACAAAGGGUUGCUACUGCGCGAGCAGAUGCUAAUCUCAAAAAGCCGAUCGUAGUCCGGAUCGCAGU